AGAAGAGGAGGCUGUUGAAACUUUUAAAGAAUUUCCUAAGUUCGAUAUUCACCUUGGAUAAUACAGAAUUUGUAGAGUUGCCUUCAACGAAUGAAAAGUUACUUCAUGGAUGACGAACGUUACGAGUCUAAAGGUGAAGGAACGGAAUAUUACCCCGACUAUGAAAACAUCUCAUCGGUAUAGAAACAAUCUUCACUUGGCAUAAAGUCUUUUAGUUGUUUAUCUCUUUGAAGACUUCUCAUAUUCUUUGUUUCGUAUGGUCAUGCAAU
Long non-coding RNA from Xenia sp. Carnegie-2017, 269 nucleotides. RefSeq lists it as uncharacterized. The transcript is spliced from 4 exons. The record is from RefSeq and is a predicted model, not a curated record. NCBI's taxonomy places the organism in Eukaryota, Metazoa, Cnidaria, Anthozoa, Malacalcyonacea, Xeniidae.